UGCGUAGGCGGAAUAUUAAGUCAGUGGUGAAAUCCUGCGGCUCAACCGUAGAACUGCCAUUGAUACUAAUAUUCUUGAAUGUAGUUGAGGUAGGCGGAAUGUGUAAUGUAGCGGUGAAAUGCUUAGAUAUUACACAGAACACCGAUUGCGAAGGCAGCUUACUAAACUAUGAUUGACGCUGAGGCACGAAAGCGUGGGGAGCGAACAGGAUUAGAUACCCUGGUAGUCC
Molecule: ribosomal RNA, 229 nt
Filed under: uncultured bacterium
Lineage: Bacteria
Description: partial 16S ribosomal RNA
Rfam family: Bacterial small subunit ribosomal RNA
Source: RNAcentral